RNAcentral lists this transfer-messenger RNA (401 nucleotides) under uncultured Prevotella sp. It matches the Rfam family "transfer-messenger RNA". Rfam says of the family: Bacterial tmRNA, also known as 10Sa RNA or SsrA, is named for its dual tRNA and mRNA-like properties. The record is from RNAcentral. Lineage: Bacteria; Pseudomonadati; Bacteroidota; Bacteroidia; Bacteroidales; Prevotellaceae.
GGGGUUGACUGGAUUUGACAGCGGGCCGGGAUGGUGCGUAAGCAUGCGGAGUUAAGACUGUGUCCUCCAUAAUCACGUCGGUCAAAAAUUUAAUUGGCGAAACACGUUACGCUCUCGCUGCUUAAACCGAAGUAUAGUAGGUUUGCUUAAUUUCUGCGCAAGGCGCGGAAACGGGACAUCGCUCAGAGCCACUCUUCCUGAGGCUUAACUGGUUAUAGCGGUGCAGAAAUAUCGGGAAUAGCAUGGAUUGUGCCUCGGUGUCUGUGUGAAAUUUUUAGGGGCUAAGGCAGUACUUGGUGGUCCGGGUCUUGGUACUGCUCGAAAAUGAAGUCCGGAAUAAGCAUGUAGAAAGCGUACGGUCACACCGUUUGGACGGGAGUUCGAUUCUCCCCAGCUCCACU